Molecule: unclassified non-coding RNA, 368 nt
Filed under: Spizellomyces sp.
Lineage: Eukaryota; Fungi; Chytridiomycota; Chytridiomycetes; Spizellomycetales; Spizellomycetaceae
Description: partial internal transcribed spacer region
Rfam family: Eukaryotic small subunit ribosomal RNA (bases 1-46)
Source: RNAcentral
AAGUCGUAACAAGGUAACCGUAGGUGAACCUGCGGUUGGAUCAUUAAAAAUAUAACAAAAUUUUGUUGUUGUCGGGUUUGUCUCGUCAAUGACAAAAUUCCUGUGGGUGGCCCCACUUCCGCCAUUGUGCGGUGGAUGGGAUAAGCCAGGCAACCACGGGGAGCUUCGGCUCACAUCUUGUGAACUGUACCGUCUUUGGUGGUGGGGUGGGCAUGGCAGUACGCCAUGUCUCAUCUGUCAGCGUGGGCCGCAAGGUCCAGGCCGUGGACAAGCCACCACAUGUUUUCAAACGUUUUCUUUAUUUUUGACUGACAUUUUAAAUUGUUUAAAUAUACAAACAACUUUUGGCAACGGAUUUCUUGGUUCUC